Zalophus californianus (California sea lion) is the source of this 4977-nucleotide long non-coding RNA. RefSeq lists it as uncharacterized. The transcript is spliced from 3 exons. NCBI's taxonomy places the organism in Eukaryota, Metazoa, Chordata, Mammalia, Carnivora, Otariidae. The record is from RefSeq and is a predicted model, not a curated record.
CUUAGAGCCAUCACUUCUGGUUGUAAACCCCACUGCUGCUUUCUGGUUAUGAGCUUUUCUGUCACUACACAACUGCAACUGGAAACACAUGGACAAAAACAGGACUAUUUCGAAGAUUAAAUGAAAUAACUCUAUGGUUUGGGUUUUCUAGAAGUGAAGCUUUCUCUCAUCCGGUUCCUUAUUGUGAAGUACCUAAGAAACUUGAAGAACCGUGAAGCACAACACUAUGGAUUCUGGAUGAAUCCACGGCCUACCAGAGUUUUGGAAGAGAAUAAUGAGGUGGACAAGUGGUCCAAAGAAAGUUUGUCUCAUCUCUGCUUCUCUGAAGAGGUAUCUCAUAACUUAUCCCAGAGAAAUUUACCACCCAAGCUCUCAGAAGCCAUAGAAGGAAGAGAGAAAAGAGACAUCUGACUUCUCCAAGAAGAAAGACAAUGUCUGGAUUAGCAGGGCCCACUGGUCUCCAAGGAUAAUUCAUGCUAUCCUCAUGCACAUUGGACUCAUGGUCUGGCUCUGACCUCUGAAGAAUGGCUCUCGACCAACCGUCUUUAGAGGAAGCAGAAGCUGAAGCCUGGGAGAAUCUUGGCCAGGGCCACAGCCAUGACCUCAGACCCUGCAACUGCACCUGAGUACACAUUUCCAGGGGAGAUGUGCUCUCUAUGGAGGAACGGCAGCUCUGGCCCAUGGGGUCCCUAUGAGAUCACCCCAGCUGGUCUAAAUUAAUGUGUGACACACAUGCCCACUUUUUUUUAAAGCCCAAAACAUAGAAUCUCCUUUUUUUCUUGAUUCUAUACUCUAAACUUCUGCUAAAUCAACUUCUUUAAAAAUAUAUUUUCUCUUCUGCUUACCUAAAAUGUUUCCGUACUGAAUUUGCUGAGUAGCCAGCACAUUUGUAAAAGCACGUAGGCAAGCUAAACUCAUUUCCUAAGCCAGCUUCACACCUAAGCAUAAACAAGGGGUCUGGCCUUGGAAAAUGAACCACUUUCCUGACAAAGAAAUUGCUUCCUGUCACCAAGGAGAACGUGCCUCAUCUCCCACGCCUCUCUCUCUUGUCCCACACCUUGCACUUUUCUUCUUUCUUUCUCCUGAAUUUCAGCUUCCAGUGAAGUCUAUCUCAAAGCCCAAAUAAGUAGAGGAGGUUUUGUGUUGUCUCAGCCAAAUAAUCCCAGCUCACCCAAGCAUUCAGUGUUCAUAUGAAGUGUUUGCACAUUGGGUUUGCUGCCUGCUGGACUGAUCCCUCUCUCUCUGUCUGUCUUCCUCUCCCUCUCUCUUUCUCCCCUUACAAGCCAAGGACUGGAGGUAAAAGAGAAUAUUCAAUAUAUUCUGAAACAUAUUCAAAUCACAGAGAGAAAAACAGAGUUUCAAAAGAAAGAGAAGAAAACAAAAAACCUGGCCAUCCCUUUUCUUCUUCAAAUCUUUACUCUUAAAAGCCCUUUACUCUUAAAAGACCUUGUGGUACUUUGCUUUGUCAAACUCUGGUGUGAAAAAACAAAAACACAUGUACUCAACCACGUUGCUUUAUGCUGAUGAGCUCUUAUUUAUUAUGCCACUUCCAAAAAUGGAGAAAUGAAAGCCAAUCUAUUUUAUUUCUAAAGACAAAUCUUUCUGUGUCAGUCAAUGUCCAAAUAAAAAUAAUGAAAACCCCAUACUUGAGUAUCUAAAACAGAGAUUUGAGCACAAGGAAUUAGUUACCCAGGUGAUGGAAGAGCAGAGAAGUCAGACAAGAAACAAUAGGGCAAAUCAGAAGGUAGCAACAACAGGAUACAGCUACCACUCCUAGGCUGCAGGGACAGAGAGGGAAAUGGAGUUAUCAGAACCCAGGGCGUGGGGCCACCAGACAGAAGCUGGACCCACAGCCCAUUUGUCUGGUAGGAUCUGGAGUCAAGGAAGACAGGUAGCUGCUACUGGGGAAACCACCCAAGAUAGGAAGGUGAAGGAGAAAAAACAUGGUCUCUCUCUUCCUCUCUCCCUCCCAUCUGCACCCAGUGCCUCCCAUUGGCAGAAUCCAGCUGGAAGCCAGGUGAUCCAGGAGCCUGGAAAACACAACCUGAAAAUGGCUAGCUCACUGAGGCUCUCAGCCGAACAGAGGAACAUGAGAGAUGCUGCUGAAGAAGAUCAAGCCCAAGACUCAUACCUGUUCUUCCCACUCCUCCCUCCACAAUGUCCCCACUACCAACAUCCUCACCCAACCACUGAACAAACAGGAUGCAAAUUCCAGAGGCACUGGAAAUUGGGACUGCAAGGAAAGGUGCCAUGCAAGUAAAGCUCAAGUUCAUACCCAAAUUCAGUUCUACGGAGCUCUGAUUCUGGGCACCUUUUCCUCUAAUCAUUAGGGCUGCCACCUUGUCUGGUUUGUGUGUCCAAUCCUAGGAGUGUGAAAUGCAAUAAGUUCCAGGCAGAACAUGGGAAAUUACUCCACACUCACAUCAGGGAGCUUUUAAAUGGAACCUGGGCUAGAAGUGUGUUCUCACAUGGAGGCACAGGGUUUUUAGUCUCAUUCUCUUACCAAGAGCAAUGACCAGCCACGUGGGAAGAUACGGGGUCAGAGAAGAGAUUUUGGGGCAUCUUCCUGGAUGUCCUCUGAAGGCUUUUUUUUUUUUUUUUUGGUUUUUUCAGCAAUCAGUCCUUGCUGGACAUGUGCCUGCCCCAUGCCCAACCCCAGCCCCCAAGGCUAGAACUAAGCCUCUAGAAACAAAAGUAUCAGAAGAUCGCUCUGUUUGGAAAGUCUCAUAAAAGAGCUAUGAAUUUGUUCUUAAAUAAUCUACUCGGAAUGGAAUUCAACAAAUCACAACUAAAUCCUCCUUUUGGCAAAAUGAUUCCAUCUUUAUUAUAACUGUAUUAUCGCUUGUAUUACUGCACAUAUCUUCCUCUGCCCUCAAAAAUGGAGGAGGAGGAGAGAAGCCCAAAUAUAAUAUAAACAGAGGACUGGAAAAUUGCCCCAACAAAGCAUAAUGGCUAAACAAUGACUAACGGGGCUGUGAUAUGUAUCAACACAGACCCACGUUCAUAAACAGUGCAAUGGGAAGGAGAUGUGCAUGAGCUGGACAAGAGGAGGGUUUAGGCUGAGAGGUGGGGUGGAGAGGGGGCAAGGGCAUCGUUAGCAGGAUGACUGAGCAAGCUGAGUCUUUUCACCCUGGUCUGAGAGGCCCCAGCUAGAGAGGGUGAACACGGACCAUACAGACAAGCAUUUUAUGAUUCGCUUAAUGAGGCCGAGAGACAAUAGUUUCGCAGGAGCUGAGGCUCGGGCUCCUGAGUCAGACUGCCUUGGUUCAUGGCUCUGUUCCACUUCCUGCUUGUUUUGUCACCUGAGGCAAAUGAUUUACUAAUCCUUUAGAGCCUCAGAUUCCUCACUUGUAAAAUGAAAUCAUUCACUCAAAGAAUAAUUGUUGAAUAUCUACUAUGUGCCAGGCACUGUUCUAGGUGCUGGGAAUCCAAUAAGGGGUAGGGAGAGGGGAGAACACCCUUGCUCUCAAGGAGUUCAUACUCUGGUGGGGGAGAAAGAUAACACAGAUUAACAAACAAAUAGAGAAUAUAACGAUGGCGGGUUCUAUAAAGAGAAAUAAAGCUAGGUAAGAGGGAAGGAGUGAUAGCAGAAGGGUGUAGGCUAUUUAUAGAGUGGUCAGGAAAGAACCACAUGAACAUGUGAAUUCAAACAGACAUGGAAAAGAAGCAAAGGGGAGAGAUCCACAAAGGUAUGGGGAGGGUGUUCCGGGCAGAGGGGACAGCAAAUACCCCUCAGCUUCCAAGGCUUAUUACAUGGGGAUAAUAACAGGCAUUAGCAUAGCUCCUGGCACAUAGUAGGCACUUAAUAAAUGUUAGCUAUUAUUUUUAAUCAUAAAUGGGAUAUUCAUAAAGCUAAUUUUUGCUCAAGGUAGAGCAGCAAGAACAGUAAGAAAAUCAGCAAAUUCACCUCAGCUCUGGAUCCUUGUUCUUUCCCCACCUCCAUGUAUCACAAAAAAAGAGAUGCUUACAAAGAAAGAUGGUGCUCUCAAGCUUUCGUUAUCUGCAAAAAAAAGGGGGGGGGCACAGUGCAUGAUAACCCAAAUCAGCAAAUAACGCAAAAGACCUAUCCACAUUUUUAAUAGAUACCUAUGUGCAAAAGAUGUUGCCUAGUUAUGUGGUAUUCACUCUAGUAUCAACGGGAAGAUCAUGCGGUGCAGAAAUUGGCAUCAGAUACCAAGCAUUCAAUUCCUGGUUACGUGGUAUCAGACAAGUCCCUUAACCUCUCUGAGCUCACAGGGUCGUUAUGAGGAUCAGAUGCAAUGACAACUCUGGGGGCCUGUUGUGAACCACACAACUGAAUUUGAUUAUUGCUCUAUGAUGAAAGUUGAGUGAAUCAUCUGAUCUCACAACCACGGUUGGGGUGGGACAUGGCCCACCCACAUUUUGGAUGAUUAGGAGACGCAAGCCUGAGACCAACAAUUGCCCCAAGGAAGUCACAGAGCCAAUCAGAGUCACAAAGGGACUCUUCUGUUUUUAAUACUUUCUGGGAUGAUGUUGAUGGCAUUUGUUUAGAUUGGCAUUGAAGGGGAAUCAUUCUGUUGUGAAUCAAGUUGCUUAGAAAGGAGUUGCCGACCCUGCCAACAAUUUGAUUAGAACAGGCACACACUGCAGGGGAUAAAGGAGGCAGGCAUGUCUUGCAGUUUUCUACUGAGAUACAGACCACAAAAUUAAAGCCCUAGGUAUGGUAUGGCUUCAUAGGAGACUCCGUCCACUCCUAAGACGAAUAAGGCUUUCAGGAGCUGCAAAUGAGAUUCUUACCAUAGAGAUUCAGAGAGACCAGUAUGCUCACUUCAGUUUUCCUUCAUUAUUUAAAAUCACUGAAUUUUAGAGUGGAUAUAAAUGAAGAGUUCUUUACAAGUGAAUUCCUCUAAGUGCUGAGGCUUAAAAAAAAAAAAAAGUUAUGGAAAGAAUCAUUGGAGUUCUAUACUUUAAGGACAGUAAUAACCCAGGCUGUUACUAGGCAUAGGGUAUUUGGCC